CAAAGGCUAGUUUGAUACCGCAAGCCAAACAUAUGAAUUUUGUAGUCUUUACAAUAUUACAGGAAAUAGUAGUAAAACUGCAGGUGUGGUAAUGAGCCAUGUUUCCGUUGUUAAUGAAUGAAAUGUUUAUCCUGAACCACCUGAUCAUCUGAAACUUCUUUGCUGCUCACAUGGUUCAGUCGCAUCACUCCGAGUAGGCCAUCCAAGCAUCAUCAACAGAAUGUUAAGGUAGAUUUAAUGAUCUAAAUGUGAUGAUUAGUGCAAGAAGCAUAUUUUGCUUAUAAUGCACUAUUAAAAAGGGCAAGUAUUUGAUAUUCACCAAUGAAUUGGGGUAGCCAAUUGGCAGGAAAAAUAUUAGAAGUCUGUAACUGAAGGACAUAAGCUAACUUUGUUGGGGAACGUAGUAAUUUCAAAAAUUUCCUACGCACACGCAAGAUCAUGGUGAUGCAUAGCAACGAGAGCGAAGAGUGUCGUCUACAUACCCUCGUAGACCGUAAGCGGAGGCGUUAUGACAACGCGGUUGAUGUAGUGGUACGUCUUCACGAUCGACCGAUCCUAAGUACCGAACGUACGACACCUCCGAGUUCAGCACACGUUCAGCUCGGUGACGUCCCGCGAACUCACGAUCCAGUAGAGCUUCCGGGAAGAGCUUUGUCAGCACGACGGCGUGGUGACGGUGUUGAUGAAGCUACUGACACAGGGCUUCGCCUAAGCACCGCUACGAUAUGACCGAGGUGGAUUAUGGUGGAGGGGGGCACCGCACACGGCUAAAAGAUCAAUGAUCAAUUGUUGUGUCUCCAAGGGGUACCCCCUCCCCGUAUAUAAAGGAGUGGAGGAGGGGGAGGGGGUCGGCCUCCUAUGGCGCGCCCCAUGAGGAGUCCUCCUCCCACCGGGAGUAGGACUCCCCCCUUUCAAGUAGGAGUAGGCGAGGGGCAGGAAGGGAGAGAAGGAGAGAAGGAAAAAAGGGGGGCGCCCCCCCCCCCUCCUUGUCCAAUUCGGACUAGAGGGGGAGGGGGCAUGCGGCUGCCCUGGCCGCCCCUCCUCUUCUCCCACUAGGGCCCAUUAGGCCCAAUAUACUCCCCGGGGGAUUCCGGUAACCCCCUCGUACUCCGGUAUAUGUCCGAAACCUCCCGAAACACUUCCGGUGUCUGAACAUAGUCGUCCAAUAUAUCGAUCUUUACGUCUCGACCAUUUCGAGACUCCUCGUCAUGCCAGUGAUCACAUCCGGGACUCCAAACUACCUUCGGUACAUCAAAACACAAAAACUCAUAAUAACGAUCGUCACAGAACUUUAAGCUUGCGGACCCUACGGGUUCGAGAACUAUGUAGAACAUGACCGAGACACGUCUCCGGUCAAUAACCAAUAGCGGAACCUGGAUGCUCAUAUUGGUUCCCACAUAUUUUACGAAGAUCUUUAUCGGUCAAACCGCAUAACAACAUACGUUGUUCCCUUUGUCAUCGGUACGUUACUUGCCCGAGAUUCGAUCGUCGGUAUCUCAAUACCUAGUUCAAUCUCGUUACCGGCAAGUCUCUUUACUCGUUCGUGAUACAUCAUCCCGCAACUAACUCAUUAGUUGCAUUGCUUGCAAGGCUUAUUAUGAUGUGCAUUACCGAGAGGGCCCAGAGAUAUCUCUCCGACAAUCGGAGUGACAAAUCCUAAUCUCGAUCUAUGCCAACUCAACAAGUACCUUCGGAGACACCUGUAGAGCACCUUUAUAAUCACCCAGUUACGUUGUGACGUUUGGUAGCACACAAAGUGUUCCUCCGGUAUUCAGGAGUUGCAUAAUCUCAUAGUCAUAGGAACAUGUAUAAUUCAUGAAGAAAGCAAUAGCAACAUACUAAACAAUCAAGUGCUAAGCUAACGGAAUGGGUCAUGUCAAUCACAUCAUUAUCCUAAUGAUGUGAUCCCGUUAAUCAAAUGACAACUCAUGUCUAUGGCUAGGAAACUCAACCAUGUUUGAUCAACGAGCUAGUCAAGUAGAGGCAUACUAGUGACACUAUGUUUGUCAAUGUAUUCACCCAUGUAUUAUGUUUCCGGUUAAUACAAUUCUAGCAUGAAUAAUAAAAAUUUAUCAUGAUAUGAGGAAAUAAAUAAUAACUUUAUUAUUGCCUCUAGGGCAUAUUUCCUUCACUCUCCCACUUGCACUAGUCAAUAAUCUAGAUUACACAGUAAUGAUUCUAACACCCAUGGAGUCUUGGUGCUGAUCAUGUUUUGCUCGUGGAAAAGGCUUAGUCAACGGGUCUGCAACAUUUAGAUCCGUAUGUAUCUUGCAAAUUUCUAUGCCUCCCUCCUGGACUUGAUCCCGGAUGGAAUUGAAGCGUCUCUUGAUGUGCUUGGUUCUCUUGUGAAAUCUGGAUUCCUUUGCCAAGGCAAUUGCACUAGUAUUGUCACAAAAGAUUUUCAUUGGAACCGAUGCACUAGGUAUGACACCUAGAUCAGAUAUGAACUCCUUCAUCCAGACUCCUUCAUUUGCUGCUUCCGAAGCAGCUAUGUACUCUGCUUCACACGUAGAUCCCGCCACGACGCUUUGUUUAGGACUGCUCCAACUAACAGCUCCACCGUUCAAUAUAAACACGUAUCCGGUUUGCGAUUUAGAAUCGUCCGGAUCAGUGUCAAAGCUUGCAUCGACGUAACCAUUUACGACUAGCUCUUUGUCACCUCCAUAAACGAGAAACAUAUCCUUAGUCCUUUUCAGGUAUUUCAGGAUGUUCUUGACCGCUGUCCAGUGAUCCACUCCUGGAUUACUUUGGUACCUCCCUGCUAAACUAAUAGCAAGGCACACAUCAGGUCUGGUACACAGCAUUACAUACAUGAUAGAGCCUAUGGCUGAAGCAUAGGGGAUACUUUUCAUCUUCUCUCUAUCUUCUGCAGUGGUCGGGCAUUGAGUCUUACUCAACGUCACACCUUGUAACACAGGCAAGAACCCUUUUAUUUGCUUGAUCCAUUUUGAACUUCUUCAAAAUUUUAUCAAGGUAUGUGCUUUGUGAAAGUCCAAUUAAGCGUCUUGAUCUAUCUCUAUAGAUCUUGAUACCCAAUAUAUAAGCAGCUUCUCCGAGGUCUUUCAUUGAAAAACUCUUAUUCAAGUAUCCUUUUAUGCUAUCCAGAAAUUCUAUAUCAUUUCCAAUCAACAAUAUGUCAUCCACAUAUAAUAUUAGAAAUGCUACAGAGCUCCCACUCACUUUCUUGUAAAUACAGGCUUCUCCAAAAUUCUGUAUAAAACCAUAUGCUUUGAACACACUAGCAAAACGUUUAUUCCUACUCCGAGAGGCUUGCACCAGUCCAUAAAUGGAUCGCUGGAGCUUGCACACCUUGUCAGCACCCUUUGGAUCGACAAAACCUUUUGGUUGCAUCAUAUACAACUCUUCUUCCAGAAAUCCAUUCAGGAAUGCAGUCUUGACAUCCAUUUGCCAAAUUUCAUAAUCAUAAAAUGCGGCAAUUGCUAACAUGAUUUGGACAGACUUAAGCAUCGCUACGGGUGAGAAAGUCUCAUCGUAGUCAACCCCUUGAACUUGUCGAAAACCUUUUGCAACAAGUCGAGCUUUGUAGACAGUAAUAUUACCAUCAGCGUCAGUCUUCUUCUUAAAGAUCCAUUUAUUCUCGAUGGCUUGCCGAUCAUCGGGCAAGUCAACCAAAGUCCACACUUUGUUCGCAUACAUGGAUCCCAUCUCAGAUUUCAUGGCCUCAAGCCAUUUUGUGGAAUCUGGGCUCACCACCGCUUCGUCAUAGUUCGUAGGCUCACCAUGGUCAAGUAACAUGACUUCCAGAACAGGAUUACCGUACCACUCUGGUGCGGAUCUUACUCUGGUUGACCUACGAGGUUCGGUAGUAACUUGAUCUGAAGUUUCAUGAUCAUCAUCAUUAGCUUCCUCACUAAUUGGUGUAGGUAUCACAGGAACCGGUUUCUGUGAUGAACUACUUUCCAAUAAGGGAGUAGGUAUGGUUACCUCAUCAAGUUCUACUUUCCUCCCACUCACUUUUUUCGAGAGAAACUCCUUCUCUAGAAAGUAUACAUUCUUACCAACAAAUGUCUUGCCUUCGGAUCUGUGAUAGAAGGUGUACUCAACAGUCUCCUUUGGGUAUCCUAUGAAGACACAUUUCUCCGAUUUGGGUUCGAGCUUAUCAGGUUGAAGCUUUUUCACAUAAGCAUUGCAGCCCCAAACUUUAAGAAACGACAACUUUGGUUUCUUGCCAAACCACAGUUCAUAAGGCGUCGUCUCAACGGAUUUAGAUGGUGCCCUAUUUAACGUGAAUGCAGCCGUCUCUAAAGCAUAACCCCAAAACGAUAGCGGUAAAUCAGUAAGAGACAUCAUAGAUCGCACCAUAUCUAGUAAAGUACGAUUACGACGUUCGGAGACACCAUUACGCUGUGGUGUUCCGGGUGGCAUGAGUUGCGAAACUAUUCCGCAUUGUUUCAAAUGAAGACCAAACUCGUAACUCAAAUAUUCUCCUCCACGAUCAGAUUGUAGAAACUUUAUUUUCUUGUUACGAUGAUUUUCCACUUCACUCUGAAAUUCUUUGAACUUUUCAAGUGUUUCAGACUUAUGUUUCAUUAAGUAGAUAUACCCAUAUCUGCUUAAAUCAUCUGUGAAGGUGAGAAAAUAACGAUACCCGCCGCGAGCCUCAAUAUUCAUCGGACCACAUACAUCAGUAUGUAUGAUUUCCAACAAGUCUGUUGCUCGCUACAUUGUUCCGGAGAACGGCGUUUUAGUCAUCUUGCCCAUGAGGCAUGGUUUGCAAGUACUAAGUGAUUCAUAAUCAAGUGAUUCCAAAAGUCCAUCAUAAUGGAGUUUCUUCAUGCGCUUUACACCAAUAUGACCCAAACGGCAGUGCCACAAAUAAGUUGCACUAUCAUUAUCGACUCUGCAUGUUUUGGCUUCAACAUUAUGAAUAUGUAUAUCACUACUAUCGAGAUUCAUCAGAAAUAGACCACUCUUUAAGGGUCCAUGACCAUAAAAGAUAUUACUCAUAUAAAUAGAACAACCAUUAUUCUCAGAUUUAAAUGAAUAACCGUCUCGCAUCAAACAAGAUCCAGAUAUAAUGUUCAUGCUCAAAGCUGGCACCAAAUAACAAUUAUUUAGGUCUAAAACUAAUCCCGAAGGUAGAUGUAGAGGUAGCGUGCCGACGGCGAUCACAUCGACUUUGGAACCAUUUCCCACGCGCAUCGUCACCUCGUCCUUAGCCAAUCUUCGCUUAAUCUGUAGUCCCUGUUUCAAGUUGCAAAUAUUAGCAACAGAACCAUUAUCAAAUACCCAAGUGCUACUGCGAGCUUUAGUAAGGUACACAUCAAUAACAUGUAUAUUACAUAUACCUUUGCUCAUCUUGCCAUCCUUCUUAUCCACCAAAUACUUGGGGCAGUUCGCUUCCAGUGGCCAGUCCCUUUGCAGUAGAAGCACUCAGUCUCAGGCUUAGGUCCAGACUUGGGUUUCUUCUCCCGAGCAGCAACUUGUUUGCCAUUCUUCUUGAAGUUCCCCUUCUUCUUCCCUUUACCCUUUUUCUUGAAACUGGUGGUCUUAUUGACCAUCAACACUUGAUGCUCCUUCUUGAUUUCUACCUCUGCAACCUUUAGCAUUGCGAAGAGCUCGGGAAUAGUCUUAUCUAUCCCUUGCAUGUUAUAGUUCAUCACGAAGCUUUUGUAGCUUGGUGGCAGUGAUUGAAGAAUUCUGUCAAUGACACUAUCAUCCGGAAGAUUAACUCCCAGUUGAAUCAAGUGAUUGUUAUACACAGACAUUCUGAGUAUAUGUUCACUGACAGAACUAUUCUCCUCCAUCUUGCAGCUGUAGAACUUAUUGGAGACUUCAUAUCUCUCAAUCCGAGCAUUUGCUUGAAAUAUUAACUUCAACUCCUGGAACAUCUCAUAUGCUCCAUGACGUUCAAAACGUCGUUGAAGUCCCGGUUCUAAGCCGUAAAGCAUGGCACACUGAACUAUCGAGUAGUCAUCAGCUUUGCUCUGCCAGACGUUCAUAACAUCUGGUGUUGCUCCUGCAGCGGGCUUGGCACCCAGCGGUGCUUCCAGGAGGUAAUUCUUCUGUGCAGCAAUGAGGAUAAUCCUCAAGUUACGGACCCAGUCCGUGUAAUUACUACCAUCAUCUUUCAACUUUGCUUUCUCAAGGAAUGCAUUAAAAUUCAACGGAACAACAGCACGAGCCAUCUAUCUACAACAACAUAGACAUGCAAAAUACUAUCAGGUACUAAGUUCAUGAUAAAUUAAAGUUCAAUUAAUCAAAUUACUUAAGAACUCCCACUUAGAUAGACAUCCCUCUAAUCAUCUAAGUGAUCACGUGAUCCAUAUCAACUAAACCAUGUCCGAUCAUCACGUGAGAUGGAGUAGUUUUGAAUGGUGAACAUCACUAUGUUGAUCAUAUCUACUAUAUGAUUCACGCUUGACCUUUCGGUCUUAGUGUUCCGAGGCCAUAUCUGCAUAUGCUAGGCUUGUCAAGUUUAACCCGAGUAAUCUUCGUGUGCAAAACUGGCUUGCACCUGUUGUAUAUGAACGUAGUGUUGGAAAUAUGCCCUAGAGGCAAUAAUAAAUGGUUAUUAUUAUAUUUCUUUGUUCAUGAUAAUUGUCUAUUGUUCAUGCUAUAAUUGUGUUAUCCGGAAAUCGUAAUACAUGUGUGAAUACAUAGACCACAACGUGUCCCUAGUAAGCCUCUAGUUGACUAGCUCGUUGAUCAACAGAUAGUCAUGGUUUCCUGACUAUGGACAUUGGAUGUCAUUAAUAACGGGAUCACAUCAUUAGGAGAAUGAUGUGAGGGACAAGACCCAAUCCUAAGCAUAGCACAAAAGAUCGUGUAGUUCGUUUGCUAGAGCUUUUCCAAUGUCAAGUAUCUUUUCCUUAGACCAUGAGAUCGUGUAACUCCCGGAUACCGUAGGAGUGCUUUGGGUGUACCAAACAUCACAACGUAACUGGGUGACUAUAAAGGUACACUACGGGUAUCCCUAAAAGUGUCUGUUGGGUUGACACGGAUCGAGACUGGGAUUUGUCACUCCGUAUGACGGAGAGGUAUCUCUGGGCCCACUCGGUAAUGCAUCAUCAUAAUGAGCUCAAUGUGACUAAGGAGUUAGCCACGGGAUCAUGCAUUACGGUACGAGUAAAGUGACUUUCCAGUAACGAGAUUGAACAAGGUAUUGGGAUACCGACGAUCGAAUCUCGGGCAAGUAACGUACCGAUUGACAAAGGGAAUUGUAUACGGGAUUGAUUGAAUCCUCGACAUCGUGGUUCAUCUUAUGAGAUCAUCGUGGAACAUGUGGGAGCCAACAUGGGUAUCCAGAUCCCGCUGUUGGUUAUUGACCGGAGAGGCGUCUCGGUCAUGUCUGCAUGUCUCCCGAACCCGUAGGGUCUACACACUUAAGGUUCGAUGACGCUAGGGUUGUAGAGAUAUUAGUAUGCGGAAACCCGAAAGUUGUUCGGAGUCCCGGAUGAGAUCCCGGACAUCACGAGGAGUUUCGGAAUGGUCCGGAGGUGAAGAAUUAUAUAUAGGAAGUCCAGUUUCGGCCACCGGGAAAGUUUUGGGGGUUAUCGGUAUUGUACCGGGACCACCGGAAGGGUCCUGGGGGUCCACCGGGUGGGGCCACCUAUCCCGGAGGGCCCCAUGGGCUGAAGUGGGAAGGGAACCAGCCCUUAGUGGGCUGGGGCGCCCCCCAUGGGCCUCCCCCUACGCCUAGGUUUGGAAACCCUGGGGGUGGGGGGCGCCCCACUUGACUUGGGGGGGAAGUUUCCCCCUGGCCGCCCCCCCCUUUGUAGAUGGGAUCCAGGGCCGGCGCCCCCCCAGGGGGCCUAUAUAUAGUGGGGGGGAGGGAGGGCAGCAGUACCACAGCCCCUGGCACCUCCCUCUCCCCCUGCAACACCUCUCCCUCUCGCAGAAGCUUGGCGAAGCCCUGCCGAGAUCCCUGCUACUUCCACCACCACGCCGUCGUGCUGCUGGAUCUCCAUCAACCUCUCCUUCCCCCUUGCUGGAUCAAGAAGGAGGAGACGUCGCUGCUCCGUACGUGUGUUGAACGCGGAGGUGCCGUCCGUUUGGCACUCGGUCAUCGGUGAUUUGGAUCACGGCGAGUACGACUCCAUCAACCCCGUUCAUUGGAACGCUUCCGCUCGCGAUCUACAAGGGUAUGUAGAUGCACUCCUUUCCCCUCGUUGCUAGUAUACUCCAUAGAUGGAUCUUGGUGAUGCGUAGGAAAUUUUAAAAUUCUGCUAUGACCCCCAACAGUGGCAUCAUGAGCCAGGCCUAUGCGUAGUUACUAUGCACGAGUAGAACACAAAGCAGUUGUGGGCGUAGAUGUUGUCAAUUUUUCUUGCCACUACUAGUCUUAUCUUGUUUCGGCGGUAUUGUGGGAUGAAGCGGCCCGGGCCGACCUUACACGUACGCUUACGUGAGACAGGUUCCACCGACUGACAUGCACUAGUUGCAUAAGGUGGCUAGCGGGUGUCUGUCUCUCCCACUUUAGUCGGAACGGAUUCGAUGAAAAGGGUCCUUAUGAAGGGUAAAUAGAAAUUGGCAUAUCACGUUGUGGUUUUACGUAGGUAAGAAACGUUCUUGCUAGAAAUCUACACAAGCCACGUAAAAACUUGCAACAACAAUUAGAGGACGUCUAACUUGUUUUUGCAGCAUGUGCUAUGUGAUGUGAUAUGGCCAGAAGAUGUGAUGAAUGAUAUAUGUGAUGUAUGAGAUUGAUCAUAUUCUUGUAAUAGGAAUCACGACUUGCAUGUCGAUGAGUAUGACAACCGGCAGGAGCCAUAGGAGUUGUCUUUAUUUUUUGUAUGACCUGCGUGUCAUUGAAUAACACCAUGUAAAUUACUUUACUUUAUUGCUAAACGCGUUAGCCAUAGAAGUAGAAGUAAUCGUUGGUGUGACAACUUCAUGAAGACACAAUGAUGGAGAUCAUGAUGAUGGAGAUCAUGGUGUCAUGCCGGUGACGAAGAUGAUCAUGGUGCCCCGAAGAUGGAGAUCAAAGGAGCAAAAUGAUAUUGGCCAUAUCAUGUCACUAUUUGAUUGCAUGUGAUGUUUAUCAUGUUUUGCAUCUUAUUUGCUUAGAACGACGGUAGUAAGUAAGAUGAUCCCUUAUGAUAAUUUCAAGAAAGUGUUCCCCUUAACUGUUCACCGUUGCGAAGGUUCGUUGUUUCGAAGCACCACGUGAUGAUCGGGUGUGAUAGAUUCUAACGUUCGCAUACAACGGGUGUUGACGAGCCUAGCAUGUACAGACAUGGCCUCGGAACACACGCAAUACACUUAGGUUGACUUGACGAGCCUAGCAUGUACAGACAUGGCCUCGGAACACGGAGGACCGAAAGGUCGAGCAUGAGUCGUAUAGAAGAUAUGAUCAACAUGGAGAUGUUCACCGAUCUUGACUAGUCCGUCUCACGUGAUGAUCGGACACGGCCUAGUUAACUCGGAUCAUGUUUCACUUAGAUGACUAGAGGGACGUCUAUCUGAGUGGGAGUUCAUUGAAUAAUUUGAUUAUAUGAACUUAAUUAUCAUGAACUUAGUCUAAAAUCUUUACAAUAUGUCUUGUAGAUCAAAUGGCCCACGUUGUCCUCAACUUCAACACGUUCCUAGAGAAAACCAAGCUGAAAGAUGAUGGCAGCAACUAUACGGACUGGGUCCGGAACCUGAGGAUCAUCCUCAUAGCUGCCAAGAAAGAUUAUGUCCUAGAAGCACCGCUAGGUGAAGCACCAAUCCCAGAGAACCAAGACGUUAUGAACGCUUGGCAAUCACGUGCUGAUGAUUACUCCCUCGUUCAGUGUGGCAUGCUUUACAGCUUAGAACCGGGUCUCCAAAAGCGUUUUGAGAAACAUGGAGCAUAUGAGAUGUUCGAAGAGCUGAAAAUGGUUUUCCAAGCUCAUGCCCGGGUCGAGAGAUAUGAAGUCUCCGACAAGUUCUUCAGCUAUAAAAUGGAGGAAAAUAGUUCUGUUAGUGAGAACAUACUCAGAAUGUCUGGGUUACACAACCGCUUGUCUCAGCUGGGAGUUAAUCUCCCGGAUGACGCGGUCAUUGACAGAAUCCUUCAGUCGCUUCCACCGAGCUACAAGAGCUUUGUGAUGAACUUCAAUAUGCAGGGGAUGGAAAAGACCAUUCCUGAGGUAUAUUCAAUGUUGAAAUCAGCGGAGGUGGAGAUCAGAAAGGAACAUCAAGUGUUGAUGGUGAAUAAAACCACUAAGUUCAAGAAAGGCAAGGGUAAGAAGAACUUCAAGAAGGACGGCAAGGGAGUUGCCGCGCCCGGUAAGCCAGUUACUGGGAAGAAGUCGAAGAAUGGACCCAAGCCUGAGACUGAGUGCUUUUAUUGCAAGGGAAGUGGUCACUGGAAGCGGAACUGCCCCAAAUACUUAGCGGACAAGAAGGCCGGCAACACCAAAGGUAUAUGUGAUAUACAUGUAAUUGAUGUGUACCUUACCAGUACUCGUAGUAGCUCCUGGGUAUUUGAUACCGGUGCGGUUGCUCAUAUUUGUAACUCAAAACAGGAACUGCGGAAUAAGCGGAGACUGGCAAAGGACGAGGUGACGAUGCGCGUCGGGAAUGGUUCCAAGGUCGAUGUGAUCGCCGUCGGCACGCUACCUCUGCAUUUACCUAUGGGAUUAGUUUUAAACCUCAAUAAUUGUUAUUUAGUGCCAGCUUGGAGCAUGAACAUUGUAUCUGGAUCUCGUUUAAUUCGAGAUGGCUACUCAUUUAAAUCCGAGAAUAAUGGUUGUUCUAUUUAUAUGAGAGAUAUGUUUUAUGGUCAUGCCCCGCUGGUCAAUGGUUUAUUCUUGAUGAAUCUCGAACGUGAUGUUACACAUAUUCAUAGUGUGAAUACCAAAAGAUGUAAAGUUGAUAACGAUAGUCCCACAUACUUGUGGCACUGCCGCCUUGGUCACAUUGGUGUCAAACGCAUGAAGAAGCUCCAUGCAGAUGGACUUUUGGAGUCUCUUGAUUAUGAAUCAUUUGACACGUGCGAACCAUGCCUCAUGGGUAAGAUGACCAAGACUCCGUUCUCCGGAACAAUGGAGCGAGCAACCAACUUAUUGGAAAUCAUACAUACCGAUGUGUGCGGUCCAAUGAGUGUUGAGGCUCACGGAGGAUAUCGUUAUGUUCUCACUCUCACUGAUGACUUAAGUAGAUAUGGGUAUGUCUACCUAAUGAAACACAAGUCUGAAACCUUUGAAAAGUUCAAGGAAUUUCAGAGUGAGGUUGAGAAUCAACGUGACAGGAAAAUAAAAUUCUUACGAUCAGAUCGUGGUGGAGAAUAUUUAAGUCACGAAUUUGGUACGCACUUAAAGAAAUGUGGAAUCGUUUCACAACUCACGCCGCCUGGAACACCUCAGCGAAACGGUGUGUCCGAACGUCGUAAUCGCACUCUAUUGGAUAUGGUGCGAUCUAUGAUGUCUCUUACCGAUCUACCGCUCUCAUUUUGGGGCUAUGCUUUAGAGACUGCCGCAUUCACUUUAAAUAGGGCUCCAUCGAAAUCCGUUGAGACGACACCGUAUGAAUUAUGGUUUGGGAAGAAACCUAAGCUGUCGUUUCUAAAAGUUUGGGGAUGCGAUGCUUAUGUCAAGAAACUUCAACCUGAAAAGCUCGAACCCAAGUCAGAAAAAUGCGUCUUCAUAGGAUACCCUAAGGAAACUAUUGGGUAUACCUUCUACCUCAGAUCCGAAAGCAAGAUCUUUGUUGACAAGAAUGGGUCCUUUCUGGAGAAAGAGUUUCUCUCGAAAGAAUUAAGUGGGAGGAAAGUGGAACUUGAUGAGGUGAUAGUCACCCCUUCCGAACCGGAAAGUAGCGCAGUGCGGGAAGAUGUUCCUGUGGUGCCUACACCGACUGGGGAGGAAGUUAAUGAUGAUGAUCAUGAAGCUUCAGAUCAAGUUACUGCUGAACUUCAUAGGUCCACAAGGACACGUUCCGCACCAGAGUGAUACGGCAACCAUGUCCUGGAAAUCAUGUUGUUAGACAACGGUGAACCUUCGAACUAUGAAGAAGCGAUGGCGGGCCCAGAUUCCGACAAAUGGCUAGAAGCCAUGAAAUCCGAGAUAGGAUCCAUGUAUGAAAAGAAGUAUGGACUUUGACUGACUUGCCCGAUGAUCGGCGAGCCAUAGAAAAUAAAUGGAUCUUUAAGAAGAAGACAGACGCGGAUGGUAACGUGACCAUCUAUAAGGCUCGACUUGUCGCUAAGGGUUAUCGACAAGUUCAAGGGGUUGACUACGAUGAGACUUUCUCACCCGUAGCGAAGCUGAAGUCCGUCCGAAUCAUGUUAGCAAUUGCCGCCUUCUACGAUUAUGAGAUAUGGCAAAUGGACGUCAAAACGGCAUUCCUUAACGGCUUUCUUAAGGAAGAAUUGUAUAUGAUGCAGACGGAAGGUUUUGUCGAUCCUAAGAAUGCUAACAAGGUAUGCAAGCUCCAGCGCUCCAUCUAUGGACUGGUGCAAGCAUCUCAGAGUUGGAACAUUCAUUUUGAUGAGAUGAUCAAAGCGUUUGGGUUUACACAGACUUAUGGAGAAGCCUGUGUUUACAAGAAAGUGAGUGGGAGCUUUGUAGCAUUUCUCUUAUUAUAUGUGGAUGACAUACUAUUGAUGGGAAAUGAUAUAGAAUUCUUGGAAAGUAUAAAGGCCUAUUUGAAUAAGUGUUUUUCAAUGAAGGACCUUGGAGAAGCUGCUUAUAUAUUGGGCAUCAAGAUCUAUAGAGAUAGAUCAAGACGCUUCAUUGGUCUUUCACAGAGUACGUACCUUGACAAGAUAUUGAAGAAGUUCAAUAUGGAUCAGUCCAAGAAGGGGUUCUUGCCUGUAAUGCAAGGUGUGCAAUUGAGCACGGCUCAAUGCCCGACCACGGCAGAAGAUAGAGAAAAGAUGAGUGUCAUCCCCUAUGCCUCGGCCAUAGGGUCCAUUAUGUAUGCCAUGCUAUUUACCAGACCUGAUGUAAACCUUGCCGUAAGUUUGGUAGGAAGGUACCAAAGUAAUCCCGGCAUGGAACACUGGACAGCGGUCAAGAAUAUCCUGAAGUACCUGAAGAGGACUAAGGAUAUGUUUCUCGUUUAUGGAGGUGACGAAGAGCUCGUCGUAAAGGGUUACGUCGACGCUAGCUUCGACACAGAUCUGGAUGACUCGAAGUCACAAACCGGAUACGUGUAUAUUUUGAAUGGAGGGGCAGUAAGCUGGUGCAGUUGCAAGCAAAGCGUCGUGGCGGGAUCUACAUGUGAAGCGGAGUACAUGGCAGCCUCAGAGGCAGCGCAAGAAGCAAUCUGGAUGAAGGAGUUCAUUACCGACCUAGGGGUGAUUCCCAAUGUGUCAGGCCCGAUGACUCUCUUCUGUGACAACACUAGAGCUAUUGCCCUUGCCAAGGAGCCCAGGUUUCACAGGAAGACCAGGCAUAUCAAGCUUCGCUUCAAUUCCAUUCGUGAAAGUGUUCAAAAUGGAGACAUAGAUAUUUGUAAAGUACAUACGGACCUGAAUAUAGCAGAUUCGCUGACUAAACCUCUCCCUAGAGCAAAACAUGAUCAACACCAGUACGCUAUGGGUGUUCGAUUCAUCACAAUGUAACUAGAUUAUUGACUCUAGUGCAAGUGGGAGACUGUUGGAAAUAUGCCCUAGAGGCAAUAAUAAAUGGUUAUUAUUAUAUUUCUUUGUUCAUGAUAAUUGUCUAUUGUUCAUGCUAUAAUUGUGUUAUCCGGAAAUCGUAAUACAUGUGUGAAUACAUAGACCACAACGUGUCCCUAGUAAGCCUCUAGUUGACUAGCUCGUUGAUCAACAGAUAGUCAUGGUUUCCUGACUAUGGACAUUGGAUGUCAUUGAUAAUGGGAUCACAUCAUUAGGAGAAUGAUGUGAUGGACAAGACCCAAUCCUAAGCAUAGCACAAAAGAUCGUAUAGUUCGUUUGCUAGAGCUUUUCCAAUGUCAAGUAUCUUUUCCUUAGACCAUGAGAUCGUGUAACUCCCGGAUACCGUAGGAGUGCUUUGGGUGUACCAAACGUCACAACGUAACUGGGUGACUAUAAAGGUACACUACGGGUAUCCCUAAAAGUGUCUGUUGGGUUGACACGGAUCGAGACUGGGAUUUGUCACUCCGUAUGACGGAGAGGUAUCUCUGGGCCCACUCGGUAAUGCAUCAUCAUAAUGAGCUCAAUGUGACUAAGGACUUAGCCACGGGAUCAUGCAUUACGGUACGAGUAAAGUGACUUGCCGGUAACAAGAUUGAACAAGGUAUUGGGAUACCGACGAUCGAAUCUCGGGCAAGUAACGUACCGAUUGACAAAGGGAAUUGUAUACGGGAUUGAUUGAACCCUCGACAUCGUGGUUCAUCUGAUGAGAUCAUCGUGGAACAUGUGGGAGCCAACAUGGGUAUCCAGAUCCCGCUGUUGGUUAUUGACCGGAGAGGCGUCUCGGUCAUGUCUGCAUGUCUCCCGAACCCGUAGGGUCUACACACUUAAGGUUCGGUGACGCUAGGGUUGUAGAGAUAUUAGUAUGCGGAAACCCGAAAGUUGUUCGGAGUCCCGGAUGAGAUCCCGGACAUCACGAGGAGUUUCGGAAUGGUCCGGAGGUGAAGAAUUAUAUAUAGGAAGUCCAGUUUCGGCCACCGGGAAAGUUUCGGGGGUUAUCGGUAUUGUACCGGGACCACCGGAAGGGUCCCGGGGGUCCACCGAGUGGGGCCACCUAUCCCGGAGGGCCCCAUGGGCUGAAGUGGGAAGGGAACCAGCCCUUAGUGGGCUGGGGCGCCCCCCAAGGGCCUCCCCCUGCGCCUAGGGUUGGAAACCCUGGGGGUGGGGGGCGCCCCACUUGACUUGGGGGGGAAGUUUCCCCCUGGCCGCCGCCCCCCCCCUUUGUAGAUGGGAUCCAGGGCCGGCGCCCACCCCCCAGGGGGCCUAUAUAUAGUGGGGGGGAGGGAGGGAAGCAGUACCACAGCCCCUGGCGCCUCCCUCUCCCCCUGGAACACCUCUCCCUCUCGCAGAAGCUUGGCGAAGCCCUGCCGAGAUCCCCGCUACUUCCACCACCACGCCGUCGUGCUGCUGGAUCUCCAUCAACCUCUCCUUCCCCCUUGCUGGAUCAAGAAGGAGGAUACAUCGCUGCUCCGUACGUGUGUUGAACGAGGAGGUGCCGUCCGUUCGGCACUCGGUUAUCGGUGAUUUGGAUCACAGCGAGUACGACUCCAUCAACCCCGUUCAUUGGAACGCUUCCGCUCGCGAUCUACAAGGGUAUGUAGAUGCACUCCUUUCCCCUCGCUGCUAGUAUACUCCAUAGAUGGAUCUUGGUGAUGCGUAGAAAAUUUUAAAAUUUUGCUACGAUCCCCAACACGUAGAGCUUAUCACACCCGAUCAUCACGUGGUGUCUCAGCACGAUGAACUUUGGCAACGGUGCAUACUCAGGGAAAACACUUGUACCUUGAAAUUUAGUGAGAGAUCAUCUUAUAAUGCUAUCGUCAAACAAAGCAGAAUAAGAUGCAUAAAAGAUAAACAUCACAUGCAAUCAAUAUAAGUGAUAUGAUAUGGCAUCAUCAUCUUGUGCCUUUGAUCUCCAUCUCCAAAGCUCCGUCAUGAUCACCAUCAUCAUCGGCGCGACACCUUGAUCUCCAUCGUAGCAUCGUUGUCGUCUCGCCAACUAUUGCUUCUACGACUAUCGCUACCGCUUAGUGAUAAAGUAAAGCAAUUACAGGGCGAUUGCAUUGCAUACAAUAAAGCAACAACCAUAUGGCUCCUGCCAGUUGCCGAUAACUUGGUUACAAAACAUGAUCAGCGGUACGUUACUUGCCCGAGAUUCGAUCGUCGGUAUCUCAAUACCUAGUUCCAUCUUGUUACUGGCAAGUCUCUUUACUCAUUUCGUAAUACAUCAUCCCGCAACUAACUCAUUAGUUGCAUUGCUUGCAAGGCUUAUUAUGAUGUGCAUUACCGAGAGGGCCCAGAGAUACCUCUUCGACAAUCGGAGUGACAAAUCCUAAUCUCGAUCUAUGCCAACUCAACAAGUACCUUCGGAGACACCUGUAGAGCACCUUUAUAAUCACCCAGUUACGUUGUGACGUUUGGUAGCACACAAAGUGUUCCUCCGGUAUUCGGGAGUUGCAUAAUCUCAUAGUCAUAGGAACAUGUAUAAGUCAUGAAGAAAGCAAUAGCAACAUACUAAACGAUCAAGUGCUAAGCUAAUGGAAUGGGUCAUGUCAAUCACAUCAUUCUCCUAAUGACGUGAUCCCGUUAAUCAAAUGACAACUCAUGUCUAUGGCUAGGAAACUCAACCAUCUUUGAUCAACGAGCUAGUCAAGUAGAGGCAUACUAGUGACACUAUGUUUGUCUAUAUAUUCACACAUGUAUUAUGUUUCUGGUUAAUACAAUUCUAGCAUGAAUAAUAAACAUUUAUCAUGAUAUGAGGAAAUAAAUAAUAACUUUAUUAUUGCCUCUAGGGCAUAUUUCCUUCAAACUUCACUCCGACCUCCUAUACCAUGCUUAACUAUACUAAGAAGUUAACGAUAAAAGUAUUUUCCAACUAAAAGUAGCCAAAUGAAGCUUGAUCCUGAUCAUGAAGUGGCCAAUAGCAAUGCUAACUUCUUUGAAAUCACAGAAAAACGUCGGCGUAAUAAUCCUAGAUGUAAAUCUGAACCAUUAAAAUGUAAGGAUCAAAGACUGGGAGAUAUAAGCAAACUAAUGAUGCAACUCUACUAAGGAUAGAACAUAGAAGGAACAAAUAUGUGAGAUACUACAUAAGAUGGUAAUGAGUAUACAUACCUUGGACUGCUCUAUAGGGAAAAGUGAGCAAACCGGUCUUUAAACUCAUUAAUUUUGGCCUCGAAGCAUCAUAAUGGAAGUGUCAAAAAUAUAUAACUGUUAGAAAAUAAAUUCGUAACAAAGAAUGUUCAGAUACAUACAAUAGUACCAAGGGAAGUACAUGCCACUGCUCUCAUCAGACCUCUCCUCCACCUCCUCGGGCUGGCCCCUCCUCCGCGAUCUCUCGUGGGUAGCCAUGUCGAUGGGUACCAUCUGCAAAUUGAAAACAAAGUCAUGCCUCACGGAGUCCUGAACGACUACACUCUUGUCCAAAAUGCCAGCUGCAGAGGCACAACCACCUAGCCCUCGACAUCAGCGCACAGGCAGAUUAAUGAUCACUUUAUUGUACUUAAGAAUAUUUUAACUAUUUCAUAUCACUGAAGUUCCGCAAAACAUAGAAUUGCAUUAUCAGCCAAGCAAAGUGGUACAAGUAACACUGCUAUAUGAUUCAUCAUAAUAGUAAGUUCAGUAUUGUCUAAAAUUUAGAGAACACGUAUCCAAAUACCAACGUGUUUCGCUAUAUUCGCUAUAUAACUAGUUUCCUAGCUUCUGAGUUCAUGAUCAAGUUAUGAGGUGAAGAAUUCUGAAUUCUCUAACUUGUCUCUAAUAAAUAAUACUUAUCCAACUAAUUCAGGGGGGUCUACUGUGAUUCUUGGAGCAACAAAUUGGUUUAAAUACCCUGCACAAGCUACCAUUACACCUAGUUUGCUAUCACACAAAAAAGGAGUGUUGCUUAGAUGGUAUCUCACCAGAUUGCUGUCGUCAUUUCACUACCGGGCACCUUCUCAUAGAGCGAUUUAUAAAAUAUUCUCAACGGAUCCCUCUGUUACAAAAAAUAAAACAAUUAUUACUCCUAUGAAAGGAAUCAGAACAUAUCAAAAGGGGAAAUGUCAUAAUGGUUAAUAUCCAGGAAGGGGAGCAUGUUCCCGUCCUGGCAAUUCUUACACCUUUCUCUCUUUGACCCCAGCAUCCUUCUUUUCAUCUUUCUUGAUACCAACCCCCAUAUUUAUUUUCUUUUGCUCCUCCAACAAAUCAAGAAAAUAAUUUAGCAACUAAACAACACAACAUAAAUCACAAUAAUGGCAUACCUUUGUAUCAUAUUCAUCAUUUUGUUUCUUGAUCCUGGAGAAGUUGGGA
This 17836-nucleotide long non-coding RNA is filed under the name Triticum aestivum (bread wheat). RNAcentral's name for it is "long non-coding RNA (TAES_LNC004797)". The record is from RNAcentral. Lineage: Eukaryota; Viridiplantae; Streptophyta; Magnoliopsida; Poales; Poaceae.